Molecule: long non-coding RNA, 1772 nt
Organism: Asparagus officinalis (garden asparagus)
Lineage: Eukaryota; Viridiplantae; Streptophyta; Magnoliopsida; Asparagales; Asparagaceae
Exons: 4
Source: RefSeq, a predicted model, not a curated record
AAUGACUCCAAAAUAAGGAGUGAAGCAGAUUCUUUAGCAACACAUGGAAUUGGAAAUUUUGAAUUUUUAUUAAGUAUGAUUAUUUGGUAUGAUAUAUUGUUUGCUGUUAACUUAAUUAGCAAAUAUUUACAAUCUAAAGACAUGCUUAUUGAUAUUGCUAUAGAUCAAGUAAAAGGAUUGAUUAGAUUUUUUGAGGAGUAUAGAGAAGUUGGGUUCACACAAGCUAUGACAAUUGCUAAAGAAAUUGCUACUGAAAUGGAAAUUGAUUCUGUAUUUCAAGUAAAACGUCAAAUCCGUAGAAAAAGACAAUUUGAUGAGAAUGUUAAUGAGGAGACAACACAAUCAGCUGAAGAAUCUUUUAGAAUCAAUUAUUUUUUGUGUAUUAUAGAUCAAGCUAUUGGUUCACUAAAGAAAAGGUUUGAGCAAUAUAAAGUAUAUGAAGAUAUUUUUGGAUUUUUGUUUGGUUCAGAAAAGUUAAACUCAUUAGAUGAUAAUAAUUUGAAAGCAUGUUGUGAUAAUCUUGAAAUUGUUCUAAAAUAUAAAACAUUUUCUGAUCUUGAUGGGAAAGAUUUAUAUGGAGAACUAAAAAUCUUACGAUAUAUUUUACCAAAAGAAACAAAGAUGGCUAUUGAUAUACUGAAUUUCUUAAAAAUACGAAAUUGUUUUCCAAAUGCAUGUAUUGCUUAUAGAAUAUUAUUGACUAUACCUGUUACAGUCGCAUCUGCAGAAAGAAGUUUUUCAAAAUUAAAAUUAUUAAAAUCUUAUUUGAGAUCGACCAUGUCACAAGAAAGACUGAAUGGACUAGCUUUGAUAUCUAUUGAAAAUGAUUUUAUAGAUAAAAUUGAUGUUAAGGGCUUAAUUAGUGAUUUUGCAGCUAAAAAUGCAAGGAGGACAAUUUUUCGAUGAUACUUUUUUAUGCUAAAGGCUUCGAUAUCUCUUAUGAAGAACUGCUAUAAGAUUACGAAGGAACCCUAAGGACACUGAAGACUUAACUGCUGUAAAUGAGCUUGCUAGAGAUAUUGACAAUACUGUCCAUUCUGGUCUCUGGGACAUAGUAAAAAAUUGCACAUAUAUUGGACUUGCGGAUGAAACUUUUGCGUUGCUUCAGUACAAUACCCAUCUUUAUCUUAUGAAUGUGGUGAAAGUCAGGACUGCAUCUCAGUUUGGUCAUCUGCUAGAGGCUCUUAUCCUUUAUUGACAGAUGAGAGGGGAUAGAAAAUAAAUGCACAGAUGUACACAUACUUGUUUUAAUCAUUUGCUUCAAAGAUGCAUUCAAACAAGUUCCUGGUUUUGUAUUAAGCCUUUAUUUUGUAAAGGCUAGACUGUGCACCCAAAAGUGAUAUGGCAGCACUCCAGCAACUUCUUUCCCUGUUAGAAAAUUGUUAUUCGUGAGAUUGCAUUUAUAACAUGGUCAAUGUUAAUUGUGUCAAAAACAGGCUAUAAACUUAAGUUCUGCUUCAAUUGUUCUGGAAAGUAACCAGCAUGCGACUUUCUGCCUAUCUUCAAAAUUUCUCACAUCUGCUAAAUCACAGCUAGAGGAAGGUUAUUUUGACGUUGAGUUCGACAAGAGUCAUAAUCAUAACAAACCUCAUCUCAUUUUACAAAAACAAGCUGUUGCAUCAAACUUUUCAAAGGAUAAAUCCUCAUCUACGACCCCAUGUACAUGGAAGAAGUGGGCUAGAGCGAGUUUAAUAUGUCUUGUUGGCAUUCUGUUGUUAUUCUUUCUGAUUUAUAUAUCCUCAAGGUAUUUUAAUCAUUUUUUUCAUGUAAAG